This 253-nucleotide ribosomal RNA is filed under the name uncultured bacterium. Its description in RNAcentral is "partial 16S ribosomal RNA". It matches the Rfam family "Bacterial small subunit ribosomal RNA", at positions 524 to 776 of the family's 1533-position model. The record is from RNAcentral.
UACGUAGGGGGCAAGCGUUGUCCGGAAUCAUUGGGCGUAAAGCGCGUGUAGGCGGCUGGCUAAGUCCGCUCUGAAAGCCCGGGGCUCAACCCCGGGAGGCGGGUGGAUACUGGUCAGCUCGAGUCCGGAAGAGGAGUGUGGAAUUCCUGGUGUAGCGGUGAAAUGCGCAGAUAUCUGGAGGAACACCAGUGGCGAAGGCGGCUUCCUGGCCUGUAACUGACGCUGAGACGCGAAAGCGUGGGGAGCGAACCGG